RNAcentral lists this ribosomal RNA (550 nucleotides) under uncultured bacterium. Its description in RNAcentral is "bacterial SSU rRNA". It matches the Rfam family "Bacterial small subunit ribosomal RNA", at positions 355 to 896 of the family's 1533-position model. The record is from RNAcentral.
UAGGGAAUCUUCGGCAAUGGACGGAAGUCUGACCGAGCAACGCCGCGUGAGUGAAGAAGGUUUUCGGAUCGUAAAGCUCUGUUGUAAGAGAAGAACGAGUGUGAGAGUGGAAAGUUCACACUGUGACGGUAUCUUACCAGAAAGGGACGGCUAACUACGUGCCAGCAGCCGCGGUAAUACGUAGGUCCCGAGCGUUGUCCGGAUUUAUUGGGCGUAAAGCGAGCGCAGGCGGUUAGAUAAGUCUGAAGUUAAAGGCUGUGGCUUAACCAUAGUAGGCUUUGGAAACUGUUUAACUUGAGUGCAAGAGGGGAGAGUGGAAUUCCAUGUGUAGCGGUGAAAUGCGUAGAUAUAUGGAGGAACACCGGUGGCGAAAGCGGCUCUCUGGCUUGUAACUGACGCUGAGGCUCGAAAGCGUGGGGAGCAAACAGGAUUAGAUACCCUGGUGGUCCACGCUGUAAACGAUGAGUGCUAGGUGUUAGACCCUUUCCGGGGUUUAGUGCCGUAGCUAACGCAUUAAGCACUCCGCCUGGGGAGUACGACCGCAAGGUUG